AACCCCUCGAGAGUGGCGAACGGGUGAGUAAUAUAUCGGAACGUGCCCAGUCGUGGGGGAUAACGUAGCGAAAGUUACGCUAAUACCGCAUACGAUCUACGGAUGAAAGCGGGGGAUCGCAAGACCUCGCGCGAUUGGAGCGGCCGAUAUCAGAUUAGGUAGUUGGUGGGGUAAAGGCUCACCAAGCCAACGAUCUGUAGCUGGUCUGAGAGGACGACCAGCCACACUGGAACUGAGACACGGUCCAGACUCCUACGGGAGGCAGCAGUGGGGAAUUUUGGACAAUGGACGCAAGUCUGAUCCAGCCAUUCCGCGUGCAGGAUGAAGGCCCUCGGGUUGUAAACUGCUUUUGUACGGAACGAAAAGGUCUCUCUUAAUACGGGGGGCUCAUGACGGUACCGUAAGAAUAAGCACCGGCUAACUACGUGCCAGCAGCCGCGGUAAUACGUAGGGUGCAAGCGUUAAUCGGAAUUACUGGGCGUAAAGCGUGCGCAGGCGGUUAUAUAAGACAGAUGUGAAAUCCCCGGGCUCAACCUGGGAACUGCAUUUGUGACUGUAUAGCUAGAGUACGGUAGAGGGGGAUGGAAUUCCGCGUGUAGCAGUGAAAUGCGUAGAUAUGCGGAGGAACACCGAUGGCGAAGGCAAUCCCCUGGACCUGUACUGACGCUCAUGCACGAAGCGUGGGGAGCAAACAGGAUUA
RNAcentral lists this ribosomal RNA (700 nucleotides) under uncultured beta proteobacterium. RNAcentral's name for it is "bacterial SSU rRNA". It matches the Rfam family "Bacterial small subunit ribosomal RNA", at positions 83 to 780 of the family's 1533-position model. Lineage: Bacteria; Pseudomonadati; Pseudomonadota; Betaproteobacteria. The record is from RNAcentral.